UGAAACAUGAGGAUAUUUGGUGAGAGAAAUUUGUCAGCAGAAUUCUCUAUGCUGGAUAGUGACUGAUAAGCUAAAUCUUCUCUCUAUUCUUUGGCAUUUGCGAUGUGAGACCCAAGAAAAUGUGGCAGUUUAGAGCAGCCAAGUUGAAGCAAUCCUAAUUUCAGCCAGAAAUAGGAGCCCAUGUAUAGAAACCAUGGGCCGUGGGGAUGGUGGAACUAAUUGUUUCUGUAGGGAACACGGUUUGAGGGUCCUUGGCCUCUGCUGUCUUCAAUGAGUUUCCUGUUCUGCAUGAUACCAGGAUGCAUACUUGAUGUCUAGAAUGCCAGCAGCCAUCCUGUGACUAUGGGACAAAUGUGAGGGCGGAAGCCAAGGACUGAGCAUGGCAGAACAGAAAGAUAGAAACAACCUUUGUCCCUAAUGGCCUGGUAGAUUUGUGCUAACAAUGCCUUACUGCCUACCACUCUUGUUUUUACAUGAAAGAGUAAGCUACUAUUCAUUGAGUCACUUUACCCUGGUCUCUACUUCUGGCAGGCAAACAGAGGUCCUUUUUCUUUAUUCCACAUCAGCCAUGUCAAGGCAGACUGAAUGGAAUUUAAGAAUAGCAUUAGAGGAUUCAUGACCUAAUUGAUGAGGAAUUGUUCUGUUGGACACAGACAUCCCUAAAGUCCAAAGGCCAUGCUUCCUACUCCUCUCUGUCACCAAGUUGCUGGGAUCUGUUACUACUCAGAGAGAUCCUUCUCUUUUAAUUCCUCGUUUCCUUCUCUCUUUCUGGUCCUCAUAAAUAGAAAUGGGUGGAAAAAUACCUUAACAUACAAAUAUAUUUUCUGCAGAAAUCUAUUCAAGCCAUUAAUGGGUUAUUUGCAUAAUUUUCAUCAUUAAUUAGUUGAAACAUUUGCAUUUGGACUCAUUCACAAGUGCCUGGGGCUCCUCCAUGGACAGUGAUCCCACACUUGACUUACUUCUCAGUGGCCAGGACAGCUCUGUCAAGGAAUCCUUCUCAGAACAGAAAGUAUCUAUACUCAACCCUGAAAAAUCCAGUUUUCACCUUUAUACUCCUGGAAGCAAAUGUUGGCAAUUGAAGAAUAACUCAUUUCCUUCUAGCUGGCAAGGCUUCAGAAAUAAUCAAGUACGUUCUCUGAGCGCCCCUCCACAUGCAUCUCUCUGGUGGCAAGGAGAUCCUGAGACAUUUUAUUGAGAAAGCAAUGGAAAAUGGAAGUAACUGUGUGUAUUGAUCAAAUAAUACUGAUUUAAAAUAACAAAGCAUCACUAACAUUUUUUUGAUGAAUAUAGUUAUAUCCCGUUGAAUGAGAAAGGAAAAAAAUCCUUCAGUAUUUGUGGGUAUGGCCAUAUGUUCCUGACUAUGACUUCCCUACCACAAAAACUACCAACUACAAUUCCUGUCUCACAGAUUUUUUUUUAAUUUUAUGAACUCUUUCUAUAUAUGUCUCCUAUAAACUGUAAUCUCUUCAUAAAAAAGGAAUAUUUUCACCCUGAUUCUAGCCAAGGUCUCAGAAGUGGAAGUAAAUGAUGAGAAUUAAUUUUAACUUUAACAAUACAGACAGAGCAUAUUGUUUUAUACACCAAGAAAAUGAAAAACAAUACUCACUGAACUUGGUUACCACUGAAAUCUGUAUCAAGUUACAACAAUAAACAAAAGAACUCUUAAUGAUAAGUAGGGCAUAAGAUAAAAACAAACUGUAAGUUGUUCUUUCUAAUUUGCCUUUAAGACACAAGAGUAGUGUAACAUGAAACGGUAACACUGACAAAAAUAACCUAUUAGUCAACUUUUCUGUUUUUCAAUUUUCAAACUCAACGUGCUGUUAAAGUUUAAUUUAAAAAUAGUUAUAGCUAUUAAAUGUCUCCAAAGCAAGCAACUUACCUGAAACUUGCUCAAAACUACUAUGGAGAAAGGAAAGGAACCAGUGUUCAUUUGGUUUCUUUUGUAUUCCAAGCUUUUUACCUUAGUUGUUUCCAUUUAAUUUUCAAAACAAUUCUGCAAAGGAGACAUACUUAACACUAUUACACAUGGGACGAAAUUGAAGCUCAACUAGAGGCAGUUUACCACGUUCAAAUAACUGGUAUAUUUUCAGUGCAAAUUCUUAGAGGAAUAACAAGGUCUCCUUGGGGAAAUGCCUAACUUUGGGCCUGAAACAGGAAAGAUAUGAGGUAACCUGAAUAUCUUGUGAUAGAAAGUAAGAAAGUGCUCCAAAAGUGAUAGGAGCAUGACAAAAAGACACCGGAGCAAGUUUGAAUGAGUUCCAACUGGUCAAAUCAGGAACAAUUUGAGCACCAAAAUAAAUAAGUGUCCAAGGCUGAAUGUGAAAGCACCUUUGUCACAUAUGGACCAGUUCCCCUCCACAAAGGAAGUUUUGUUCUGCAGCUCCGUUCAGCAACCCAUCAAGUGCUUGGUUCUCUACCUUUUGACAACAGAGGAUAUUGUUAUGAUUUUGAGUUUUUGCCUAUU
Molecule: long non-coding RNA, 2464 nt
Filed under: Homo sapiens (human)
Lineage: Eukaryota; Metazoa; Chordata; Mammalia; Primates; Hominidae
Description: HSALNT0299314
Source: RNAcentral